UUACGGCCAUAUCAUGUUGAAACAACAGCUCACGUACGAAUACCGAAGUUAAGCAACGUCGAGCCUCGUCAGUACUUAGAUGGGUUCCCGCUUGGAAAUACCUGAUGCUAUA
Acanthosepion pharaonis is the source of this 112-nucleotide non-coding RNA. The record is from the annotation of a GenBank genome assembly. Lineage: Eukaryota; Metazoa; Mollusca; Cephalopoda; Sepiida; Sepiidae.